Molecule: ribosomal RNA, 253 nt
Filed under: uncultured bacterium
Lineage: Bacteria
Description: partial 16S ribosomal RNA
Rfam family: Bacterial small subunit ribosomal RNA
Source: RNAcentral
UACGUAGGGCGCAAGCGUUGUCCGGAAUUAUUGGGCGUAAAGAGCUCGUAGGCGGUUUGUCGCGUCUGUCGUGAAAGCUUGGGGCUUAACCCCAAGUCUGCGGUGGAUACGGGCAGACUAGAGGCAGGUAGGGGAGAACGGAAUUCCCGGUGUAGCGGUGAAAUGCGCAGAUAUCGGGAGGAACACCGGUGGCGAAGGCGGUUCACUGGGCCUGUACUGACGCUGAGGAGCGAAAGCGUGGGGAGCGAACAGG